Molecule: ribosomal RNA, 458 nt
Filed under: uncultured bacterium
Lineage: Bacteria
Description: bacterial SSU rRNA
Rfam family: Bacterial small subunit ribosomal RNA
Source: RNAcentral
AUUGAACGCUGGCGGAAUGCUUUACACAUGCAAGUCGAACGGCAGCACGGGGCAACCUGGUGGCGAGUGGGCGAACGGGUGAGUAAUAUAUCGGAACGUGCCCAAUCGUGGGGGAUAACGUAGCGAAAGUUACGCUAAUACCGCAUACGAUCUACGGAUGAAAGCGGGGGAUCGCAAGACCUCGCGCGAAUGGAGCGGCCGAUAUCAGAUUAGGUAGUUGGUGGGGUAAAGGCUCACCAAGCCAACGAUCUGUAGCUGGUCUGAGAGGACGACCAGCCACACUGGAACUGAGACACGGUCCAGACUCCUACGGGAGGCAGCAGUUGGGAAUUUUCCACAAUGGGCGAAAGCCUGAUGGAGCAACGCCGCGUGCAGGAAGAAUGCCUUCGGGUUGUAAACUGCUUUUAUGUGCGAAGAAUAUGACGGUAGCAUAUGAAUAAGGGUCGGCUAACUACGUG